GGUUAAGCGACUAAGCGUACACGGUGGAUGCCCUGGCAGUCAGAGGCGAUGAAGGACGUGCUAAUCUGCGAAAAGCGUCGGUAAGGUGAUAUGAACCGUUAUAGCCGGCGAUGUCCGAAUGGGGAAACCCAGUGCAAUUCGUUGCACUAUCGUUUGAUGAAUACAUAGUCAAACGAGGCGAACCGGGGGAACUGAAACAUCUAAGUACCCCGAGGAAAAGAAAUCAACCGAGAUUCCCCCAGUAGCGGCGAGCGAACGGGGAGCAGCCCGGAGUCUGAAUCAGCUUGUGUGUUAGUGGAAGCGUCUGGAAAGUCGCAGGGUACAGGGUGAUACUCCCGUACACUAAAGCACACAGGCUGUGAACUCGAAGAGUAGGGCGGGACACGUGGUAUCCUGUCUGAAUAUGGGGGGACCAUCCUCCAAGGCUAAAUACU
Molecule: ribosomal RNA, 434 nt
Filed under: Klebsiella grimontii
Lineage: Bacteria; Pseudomonadati; Pseudomonadota; Gammaproteobacteria; Enterobacterales; Enterobacteriaceae
Description: partial 23S ribosomal RNA
Rfam family: Bacterial large subunit ribosomal RNA
Source: RNAcentral